AUUUUUAAAAUGCUCUACUAGGUUGGCUUGGGUUGUAGGUUCACUGGACUUUUUAUCUCUAACUCAGUUCGACUCUUCUAUCCUAAUGGAUCUUAGGACAUAAUUCAGUGAUAGCUCUCUCUGAUUGUGGUUAAGAUCGUUUGCAUAGUUCGACCAAGAGGGUGGCAACUUAUCUAUAAGGCUUCGUUUGGUUUGGGAUUAAGUAAGAACUAGUUAUUCCAGGAAUAGGUAUAAGUCCGGGGUUAAGCCUGGAAUAGACUAAUUUUGCGUUUGGAUAAAAAUUGGGUUGUUUCCGAGAAUAAAAAAAAUAGCGUUUGGAUAGAUAAGGUGGAAUAAGAAGAAUAGUGGAUAGUUAUAAAUAGAAAAUAAUUUUAUAUUUGAAUUUAAAUAUUUAAAUUUCAUAAUUUAAAUUUUAAAUUUAAAUAUAUAACUUUAAAACUUAAAAAAUUCUUUUUUAAAUCUCAAAUUCAAAAUUUUAAAGUUCUAAAUAUUAAAUUUAAAUUUAAAAUAUCAAAUAUCAAAUUUUAAAUUUAAAAAAUUAAAAAUAAUAAUUUAAAAUUUAAAAACUUAAAAUAAUAAUUUAAAAUUAUAUUCUCAAUUUUAAGCUCAAAAAUUUUUAAAUUUAAAAAAUUUAAAAUAUAAAUAUAAAUUUAAAAAUUAAAUUUAAAAUUUAAAAUUUAAAUUAUAGAAUUGAAUUGGGAUGGGAUUAAAGUU
This 714-nucleotide long non-coding RNA is filed under the name Ananas comosus (pineapple). Its description in RNAcentral is "long non-coding RNA (ACOM_LNC028457)". Lineage: Eukaryota; Viridiplantae; Streptophyta; Magnoliopsida; Poales; Bromeliaceae. The record is from RNAcentral.